UAUAACAAAGAGGCUUUAAGGAUUUAAAUAAUCUUAAUUUUCAAAUGCCUAAAUACUGGAGUCUGGAGUUAAUAUUUCAGUUUGGAGUUUGUUUUAGUUGUAUUUUUACUGAUAGAUAUGCCUUUUUGUGCGAAUAUUUCCAUCUUUGAGAAUUCAUUUCAUAUAGUUUCAAUGGAUAUAAAAUAAAAUUAAUGAUAAUUAAAAAUGUGGGUGUUGGAUUUUCAUAUGGACGUGUUUUAAUCAGUUAUGUCUGUGGAACUGCUGUAUAAGAUUUAGAUUGAAAUUGCAGAUUGACACUGAAUUUAUCAAAGAUAUCUACAUGGAAAUAAGAUGCAUUAUGCAACAAAUUUGUAUGUAUACAAGACGAUCCCCCAACAAUAUAUAUACGCAUAAAAACUUCAUCUAUUGAGGACAUUUUAAGUAUUCACUCAAAUAUAAUUAAUACAGUCAUCCAUUGUCAGAACACUUGGAAAUUAAUAUAGUAAAUUUGUGGCAGCUACAUAAUCACAAUGAUUCAUCAAAAACUUUGCAUCUCAAAGGUAAUCCAGGAAAUGCCAGCAAGUCAGCAACAAUGAAAACUGUCUUCAAUCUCGAGACAAAUCCUAGCAAAAAAAAUACGUGAAUGAAUCAACAAAAAGAUAGGAAGAAACAAAUGCAAAUAAAUUUCUCCUGUUGCUCAUUUCGUGUCAAAUUCUUGUGUGGAUUAAGGUCAAUCUGAUUUUUACCUUUUAUACAUAUUGUUGAAAUGGAGAUACCUUUUAUUUAUUAUAUAGAUCUUUUUCUAUCAUUUUUUUUACACUACAAACACUAAAAUAGCCCUGAAUUUGAAUUGUGACUGGUUUGAUUGUAACAAAUUUGACAUGUUUGCAUGAUUCAUGAAAGGAAAGAUGUUAAUAUGCCAUAACCCAUGGCAGUAGUAAGUAACCACAAUAAAUCAAUGUUGAUUACAAUAACAAAGUAAAAUACACACUCUUACCACCAAUGUAACAGCACCAAGAGCAAUCCAUCUGAUAAUUUUCCAGUGCUUAUCCAUAAAUUUAUAUAUCAUAUCAAAAUUUCCAAAUCUGUCAAUUGGAAUUUUCUGAGAUAUAUUUGUCGUAAGAUAAAACUAUCGCUUAUUCAUUCAGUGUUGACAACUAAAUGCACUAUUAUAUAAACAAGAAUAUGGAUUAUUUACACUUUUAGUCUAGCAAAAGAUUGAUUUUCUCUACAUAAUCAGAUUCAACACAGCAUCCAUCUCACCAAAGUGUAGGAAAGGUUUAGCUGAAAUAUCCUUGAAACAUAGUUAGAGCAUUUCAAAUAUGUAAUUGCAUAUUUAGUGAUCAUAAUUAUGUUAGAAUAUAGCAAAACAAAUUCUCCAAUAUUAGAGCUCUAGAAACUUACAUUCUUUAAGCUUGGUCAUCUUCAGUUGAUUUUGAAUUCAUUGAUUCUCAAAGUUCAUGAAAUUGGUUGUAAUGCUCAACAUCUUCUGUGCAAAAACCAUCCAAGUUCGGAGAAGCUUUCAACCAAUUUUGACUGCAUACUAAGACCUCAACCAUCUUAGGACUUAAGGAACUACGGAAAGGAUCAAGUAUCCUUCGUCUAGUACUAAAUGCACUUUCUGAAUCAACAGUUGAAACUUGAAUUGCCAACACAUCUUUGGCCAAAUUGGACAAGAUACCAUACUUAUUUCUGUUAACCUUCCACCAAUCUAGAACUUCAAAAUUCUUUUUCUCUAUGAUUUCACGAGCAUCCAAUAAGUAUCAUUCCACAUCAUUUUUUUAUUUCAACCGAAUCCUUCCGUGCUUGUUUUUCCAUAAAUCUACUAAGACGAGCAUCACUCCUAGAAGAAGAACAUCCUUUAUAUGUAUUGAAAGAAUUUAAAGACUCCUCAACACUUUACUACUUCCGUCAAUACUUUCAUGACCCACAUACCACUUAUAAAUAUCCAUCAAAUUGGCUUUCAAAGACUUCGUCAUGUUACUAACAACUGCCCCCAUCCAUAUAUAGAUCAUUCAAACAAUAUUCAACAUAAUCCAUUUUGUAUCACUAUCUUGGAUCAAGGAUAGUAGCAAAAAACAAUAAUUGAUUCACAUUUUCCAUUUUACCCCAAUACUUAUCAAACUUCUUUUUCAUGUUAGUCGUUAUUUCACCCAACAAAAAGUUUCCACUUAAUCUCCAUCCAUCCAAUUCGAUUACAAAUUUCAUGAAGAUAAGCAUAAGCACUAACAUGCAAUGAAGCACUAAAAGUCCAAGUCACAUUAAAGAAAUUUUGAAGAAAUUUAACAAACACAGAUGCACUUUUCCAAUCUAAACUUGACGGAGGUCCACCCCUCCUUCUACUACUGUCAUCUUCUCGAAAGUAAUGCAAAUACUGAGCAUCCUCCUCUUUUGACCUAUAGAAAGCUUUUCAAAUUUCAAUGUCUUUUCCAACAUCAAAUAGGUAGAAUUCCACCUUGUUGGAACAUUCAAAAACAUAAUAGACUUGCACUCAAUCUUCUCUUUCCUAACACACUCCUUCAAUUUUUCAUGCGUAGCACGAGAAGAUUUCAUAUAUUUGAUUGCAUUGCGAAUAUUCACAAUGGAGUCAUGUGCUUCCCACAACCUUUCACCAACAAUCAAAUUGAUAAUGUGUGCACAACAUUUCAAUUGCAAAUACAUCCCAUCUAUAACACAUCUAUCACUAUCCCAAGCAACUACAUUUCUCCUAAGCUAAGAAGUGGCUGUGUCAUUGAAGCUUGCGUUAUCAACAAUGAUUGCAAAAAAAUUUCACAAUCCCCAAUUAUGCAAACAAGUCUUAAUUAUUUUUCCAAUAGUUUCUCCCUUAUGAUUUGAAAUGACACAAAAAUUCAAAAUACACUUAUUAAGCGUCCAAUCAGAAUCAAUGUAUUGUGUUGUAAGAGACAUGUAAUUAACAUUCUGAAUAGAAGCCUAAGUAUCAAUUGUAAGGGAAACCAUUUGAUGGUGAAAAGAAAAGGCAUCUCUCAAUUUCAGUUUUUCAUCCAAAUACAAUUAAUAAAUGUCUCUAACAAGAGUCCUGCGAGAUGAAGCUUGAAAUUAAGGACAUGCUACACUACAAAAGAGCCUAAGACCACGAGCUUCAACAAACCUUAAAGGUAAUUCAUCCAAAACUAUCAUUUUAGCACACGCAACUCUACACUCUUUCUUGCUUCGACCAACAACAAUAAGAUUAUUCCCUCCACCCUCUUUGUUGUUCUCAAAUGAUAAGGUUUUCUGCUUCUUAUCCACCAAUCUACCUGGAUACUUCUUACAUUCAUUAGUCAAAUGAUUACUCAAUGUACUAGUACCACACUUCUUAGUGCCACAACCAUAAUUUACUCCACAAUAAUUACACUUACAUCUAACAUCUGGAUCAUUCUUUGAGCCUAAUAAAGUGAAGUGAUCCCAAACAUAAGAAUCUAAUCUAUUAGAUUUUCGUUUACCUAAUGUUGACGGUACACGUGGAAGAAAACCAGAUUGCAAAUCUGUGACUAUGUCAUUUGAUUGAGCUUAUGUGCCAUGUUCUUCCCGUAUAUCCAUAUCUACCAACAUAUUUGACAAAAAUUAUUAAUACACCAAAAUACAUUUAUUAAAUUACAAUUAUUAAUGCACUACAAAGAAGCAAGAAUAUUGUACUGGAGUCCAUUACUUAAAGGACAAUGCAAGUUAUUCUGACUCCAAUUUCUGCAUGUCUUCGGCUGCAUUAGUACCUGUACCAACGCGAAAAGAGAAAUUUAGUGAGAAAAGCCUAAAGUUAAUAAGUAGUGAAAAAUUCCAAGGUUUUCAAGAGGUUGGUUAUAAUGGUGUAUAUUUACAUGGUUCAGCUUCUAGUUGAUAGUUUAUUAUUUUUCCAAUAUAUUGGCUGCAGAUUAUGGCAACUUCUCCAUAAUUAAAUCUUUUUCCCUAUCCUAACUAGUCAAUAUACCCCGAAAUUUCCUUACGAGCUGUAACUUAAAGGAGUCAA
This 3943-nucleotide long non-coding RNA is filed under the name Olea europaea subsp. europaea. The record is from RNAcentral. Lineage: Eukaryota; Viridiplantae; Streptophyta; Magnoliopsida; Lamiales; Oleaceae.